GGCCUUGACAUACUAAGAACUUUCCAGAGAUGGAUUGGUCGCCUUCGGGAACUUAGAUACAGGUGCUGCAUGGCUGUCGUCAGCUCGUGUCGUGAGAUGUUGGGUUAAGUCCCGCAACGAGCGCAACCCUUUUCCUUAUUUGCCAGCGGGUCAUGCCGGGAACUUUAAGGAUACUGCCAGUGACAAACUGGAGGAAGGCGGGGACGACGUCAAGUCAUCAUGGCCCUUACGGCCAGGGCUACACACGUGCUACAAUGGUCGGUACAAAGGGUUGCUACCUCGCGAGAGGAUGCUAAUCUCAAAAAGCCGAUCGUAGUCCGGAUCGCAGUCUGCAACUCGACUGCGUGAAGUCGGAAUCGCUAGUAAUCGCGGAUCAGAAUGCCGCGGUGAAUACGUUCCCGGGCCUUGUACACACCGCCCGUCACACCAUGGGAGUUUGUUGCACCAGAAGUAGGUAGUCUAACCGCAAGGAGGACGCUUACCACGGUGUGGCCGAUGACUGGGGUGAAGUCGUAACAAGGUAAGCGUAGAUGA
This 534-nucleotide ribosomal RNA is filed under the name uncultured bacterium. RNAcentral describes it as "bacterial SSU rRNA". It matches the Rfam family "Bacterial small subunit ribosomal RNA", at positions 977 to 1509 of the family's 1533-position model. The record is from RNAcentral.